Molecule: ribosomal RNA, 253 nt
Filed under: uncultured bacterium
Lineage: Bacteria
Description: partial 16S ribosomal RNA
Rfam family: Bacterial small subunit ribosomal RNA
Source: RNAcentral
UACGUAGGGGGCAAGCGUUGUCCGGAAUCAUUGGGCGUAAAGCGCGUGUAGGCGGCUCGAUAAGUCUGCUGUGAAAGUCCAAGGCUCAACCUUGGGAUGCCGGUGGAUACUGUCGAGCUCGAGUCCGGAAGAGGAGUGUGGAAUUCCUGGUGUAGCGGUGAAAUGCGCAGAUAUCAGGAGGAACACCGAUGGCGAAGGCAGGUCUCUGGGCCACUACUGACGCUGAGAAGCGAAAGCGUGGGGAGCGAACAGG